UAUGGCCAUAUUACGCUGAAUCACCGGUUUCCAUACGAUCACCGAAGUUAAGCAAUGUCGAGCCUGGUCAGUACUUAGAUGGGUGACAGAUUGGGAAUACCAGUUGCCGUAAG
Non-coding RNA from Acanthosepion pharaonis, 113 nucleotides. NCBI's taxonomy places the organism in Eukaryota, Metazoa, Mollusca, Cephalopoda, Sepiida, Sepiidae. The record is from the annotation of a GenBank genome assembly.